This 439-nucleotide ribosomal RNA is filed under the name uncultured bacterium. RNAcentral describes it as "partial 16S ribosomal RNA". It matches the Rfam family "Bacterial small subunit ribosomal RNA", at positions 338 to 795 of the family's 1533-position model. The record is from RNAcentral.
CCUACGGGGGGCAGCAGUGGGGAAUAUUGCACAAUGGGGGAAACCCUGAUGCAGCGACGCCGCGUGAGCGAAGAAGUAUUUCGGUAUGUAAAGCUCUAUCAGCAGGGAAGAAAAUGACGGUACCUGAGUAAGAAGCUCCGGCUAAAUACGUGCCAGCAGCCGCGGUAAGACGUAUGGAGCAAGCGUUAUCCGGAUUUACUGGGCGUAAAGGGAGCGUAGGCGGCCUGCCAAGUCUGAUGUGAAGACCGGGGCGCAACCCCGGGGCUGCAGUGGAAACUGGCAGGCUGGAGUGCCGGAGAGGCAGGCGGAAUUCCUAGUGUAGCGGUGAAAUGCUUAGAUAUCGCGCAGAACCCCGAUUGCGAAGGCAGCGUACCGGCUCCACACUGACGCUGAGGCACGAAAGCGUGGGUAUCGAACAGGAUUAGAUACCCGGGUAGUC